RNAcentral lists this long non-coding RNA (1222 nucleotides) under Fukomys damarensis (Damara mole-rat). RNAcentral's name for it is "lncRNA (ENSFDAG00000026417.1)". Lineage: Eukaryota; Metazoa; Chordata; Mammalia; Rodentia; Bathyergidae. The record is from RNAcentral.
CUAGAAGGGAAGACUUAAUCCUCUUAGAGACAGGUUGAGAGUGAGGUGCCUUUGAGACUUUCAUUUGGAGAUGUGGAACAUUAUGGAUAUAUAUAUAUGGUAAUAGCCACCGAAUCCUUGAGAAAAGACAAGAGCACCUCAGAAGGGUGUAAAAUAGAAGAGGAGGGCCUGAGACAGAGCUUGGAAGAGUCCUGCAAAUAGAGGCUGAGUAAAGAAGGCAAAAUCACUCACAGACCCUGAGUAACAGAUUGGUGUUACGGAGCCCAAGAAACACCUGUGUCAAAGCUGCUGCUAUAGAAGGUCCGUGGGGUCAGUGCUGCUGAGAGGUCAAGUAAGAAGCAAACUGAAGAGUGCUGUCGUGUCAGCAGUGCUGGUGAGUGCAGUCGUCGUGGAACGCUAUUGAAAUGGGCCAGAAAUUACAAAACAGCAGGAAGCAGAGACUGAUCAAGAUCUUAAUGAAGAAAACCAAGGGUUGUCACUUGAGAAAUCUCUUGACCACAAGACUGAGUAUUGUAUGGCAGAGGCAUAUACACAUUAAAGACAUCUUAAUAAAGAUGCAAAGGAAAGCAAAACAACCCAAGACACAUCUUAGAAGAAGACAAAACGGCAGGCAACUGGUCAUUUGACCCUCUGAAGGCAAAAAAUAAACAUUUUUACAUGGAAAGAAUAAGUCAUGUUAAAGAAAGAAGGGAUGGAAUGGGGACCGUUGUGUUGAGAGAAGACGCUGACCUGCUCGAAUUCAAAGUGCUAGAAUUAAAGGUCUAAAACGAAAACGCCGAGGAUGCCUCCGAGCAGAACCCUGCGCGCGCCAGGGGCGCCUGCCUCAGUCCUCCUUGCGCUCCAGAGUCUGUGCCGCGUGGAUGCCGUUGCUGUAGACCGGGAAGGGCAGCGUGGAGAAGAGUCCCUCGGCCGUGGUGAACACGUUGCCCGCGGGCAUCUGCGUGAGGCUGGCCGCGCUCACCGCGCCGCCGAAAGGUCCUGACAUGUUGAGCCUGUGCACGUGGUGGUAGAGCAUCUCCAUGGGCGUCUUGGGGUCGAGGCCGAAGCCGGGGCUGUUAACGUCCACGAAGUUAACAGCGUGCGCAUUGGGUAGCAGGUUGCCCUGCAUGGCCAGGGUCACCUCGGCUGGCGCGUAGCGGAUGGUGCCCGUGGUGUAGACCCUCUGCGCGGCUGUGCUGGUGGCGGCCAGGGUGCCGGUCACCCGGUGCACCAGAGGGAGGAC